This 1633-nucleotide long non-coding RNA is filed under the name Suricata suricatta (meerkat). RNAcentral describes it as "lncRNA (ENSSSUG00005001379.1)". Lineage: Eukaryota; Metazoa; Chordata; Mammalia; Carnivora; Herpestidae. The record is from RNAcentral.
UCUUUGAGAAAUAUACAUAUGUAUUUUUAAUAGAAUUAUGGUUUUUGGUUCCCCACAGAAUAUGGCAAAGACUUCCUUUCUCUUCCAUUCCUGUCUCUCCCCCAUCCUCUCUUGCUGUCCUCCUCUGCCUCCAAGAUGAAACCCUAGAAUGGAUUAAGAUAUUUCUGAACAUUAAGGAUGUCGGGAAUAUAUCCAUAUGGACCAAAUCCAUCGGAAUGGACCAAACCUAUCUGUGGGCUUGUACUGACCCAUAGGAACCAGUCUCUACCACAAGAAGACCCUCUUUCAACACAGGAGAGCACAUCAAGCCAAGGUUGAUGGAUUAGAAAGUAGGCCCACCGGAUCACCUGCAGAUGGUCCUGAUAAGAGCAAGGAAUGACAAGUCUGAUGGUUUCACAUCCCAUUACCAGCUUCUGUUGACUUGGCCUCCUGAGUGUGUUAUGGCGUUCACAAUUCCACCUGCUUGGAACCCAGCGAGAAGUGCCUCUUGCCAGUGGUUCCUCGUCUGUGACAUGCAGGCCAGAAGAUGGGCUUGCGGAGCGUGGUGGACGAAGAGGGAGCCAGAGAGCUCGGUGUUUCACCCGGGUUCUUCAGUUCAAAGGGGCUGUGGGCAUUUCUCAAUCUAGGGGAAGCCAUGCUCUGCAAAAAACUAUCGGUGGAGGUAAUGCAGUCAAUAUGCAGAGGGAAUUGGGGCAGUUCCUAACAAGGGACGGAGGUAGGUCCCUGAAAAAAAAAGAAGUGUCAUCCCAGUGUGGGCCACGCAGAAACAAGAACACAGUGAAGGAUGAGCAGAAUCCUUGAGGAGAGGUCCUGACCAGAGCACUGGGGCUGCUGUCAGGGUGGAGCAAGUGGAACCUGGCCCCAGGGCAGUGAGGGGCCUCCCUGCCUGUGUCUGUGGGUGGGACUCAGGCCCCAGGAGCUACACACCUGCCCACAACACAGCUACUUCUCCACGGAAGCUCCUGGAGGAGGAAGAUAGGAAAGAGGGCAGAGCGUGGAAAGAAGCCGGGGAGGUGGGCCCUGUGAGGCCUCGGUCCAAGUCCUAACCUCAAGAGCAGGACUUCGUUUCUGAGGCCACCUGUGGUGUCUGUGUCCAUAGGACAGUAUCACCUGUGCUCCAGGCAGACACCUUCCCUGCUGGGAUGUGCUUGUCUGGACCAAUAACACAGCCUCCACCCGCCUCCCUCGCUCCCUCCCCGUGUCUCUUCAGAGCCCUGCCCUUGCUUAGACUGACCUCUUUCCCCUCUUCAAAGGAGGGGAGGAGUGCAUUGUUGCACCCACGGUGCCCUGGCCUCACCCCAUGUUGACAUCAGCAUCUUGCUGAUUACAGAUCUCAGACUCGGAUGUAACCAAUGUCUAAGUUCAGCUCUGAGGAGAACGAACAUGCAUAUAAUUUAGUGUUCAGUUCACGAGCAGGGUUGAAUAGUUCUGCUGUGUUCACCAAGUCUUGUAUUUGAAAACCUGGUCAGUGUGUUCAACGUGGAGACCCGGACCAGGUGGACCCAAUGUUACCAAUGUGGUCCAGUUUUGUAGCCCGAGCCCAGCACCAGCUGGGGGCAGCGCACCCCUUCAGCGGCUCAGCUUCAGUCGAUUGUUCUAGGUCGAAUAAAGACGGAUUGCAAAGAAAUAAAAG